AGUUUGGACUCUCUUGGGACUUGCUUAUUGUUGCAGCAGUUAGAUUGUAUUCUGGUGGUUGUUUGUGUGUUGAUGUAGUUGUGGGAGAUCAGGGUUUGAUCUGAGUGCAGACCGCUUGGGUGUAUUCUUCAGGGUUGGUCUGCAUGUGGCUGUGGGCCAGUGGAGUGAGGGAACAUCUCUACCCGUAUCACGCUGAACAUGCCCAAUCUCAUCUGAUCUCAGACAGUCUUUGAAUUGUAGCACUGCCUUAUAUUUGGAUUUAUUUUGCUGUUGAAUGUGAAUAUGGGAUGGAAGUCCAUGUCUCCAGGCUUCUAUGCUGCUGCUCUAAGGACAGGCAGGCCUGAUUAGUAUGUGCUGCUGUUUGGCUACAGAGUUCUUUGGAGUCUGGAGAGAUUUGGCCUUUAAAAAUCAAACUGUCAGACCCUGUCUCAAGGAAAAAAAAAAAAACAGGAUGUGAGCGCUCUCCCUCUCCCUCUCCCUCUCCCUCUCCGUCUCCCUCUCCCUCUCCCUCUCCGUCUCCCUCUCCCUCUCCCUCUCCGUCUCCCUCUCCCUCUCCCCACGGUCUCCCUCUCAUGUGGAGCCGAAGCUGGACUGUACUGCUGCCAUCUCGGCUCACUGCAACCUCCCUGCCUGAUUCUCCUGCCUCAGCCUGCCGAGUGCCUGCGAUUGCAGGCACGCACCACCACGCCUGACUGGUUUUGGUGGAGACGGGGUUUCGCUGUGUUGGCCGGGCCGGUCUCCAGCCCCUAACCGCGAGUGAUCCGCCAGCCUUGGCCUCCCGAGGUGCCGGGAUUGCAGACGGAGUCUCGUUCACUCAGUGCUCAAUGGUGCCCAGGCUGGAGUGCAGUGGCGUGAUCUCGGCUCACUACAACCUACACCUCCCAGCAACCUGCCUUGGCCUCCCAAAGUGCCGAGAUUGCAGCCUCUGCCCGGCCGCCACCCCGUCUGGGAAGUGAGGAGUGUCUCCGCCUGGCCACCCAUCGUCUGGGAUGUGAGGAGCCCCUCUGCCUGGCUGCCCAGUCUGGAAAGUGAGGAGCGUCUCCGCCCGGCCGCCAUCCCAUCUAGGAAGUGAGGAGCGCCUCUUCCCAGCCGCCAUCACAUCUAGGAAGUGAGGAGCGUCUCUGCCCGGCCGCCCAUCGUCUGAGAUGUGGGGAGCGCCUCUGCCCCGCCGCCCCAUCUGGGAUGUGAGGAGCGCCUCUGCCCGGCCGAGACCCCGUCUGGGAGGUGAGGAGCGUCUCUGCCCGGCCGCCCCGUCUGAGAAGUGAGGAGACCCUCUGCCUGGCAACCACCCCGUCUGAGAAGUGAGGAGCCCCUCCGCCCGGCAGCCGCCCCGUCUGAGAAGUGAGGAGCCUCUCCGCCCGGCAGCCACCCCAUCUGGGAAGUCAGUUACCAAAAGGCAAAGAAAAACCUCCUGCAGUGUGAUUGCUUCUCCUAUCAGAGUCCCAUCUCGAAAACCUGAAAAUCAAACCUGAUAAAUGAUGUAGACAUAUCAAGAAAAGCCAAGAGGACAGAAUCAAGCUAUACUGGAGGAAAACGUUGCUUCUCUAGAAUUUUAAAAUAAAUAUUUCAGCAUCAGACCAUGACAGCAGUUAAGGCAAGAGGGAAAAAAAAGAUACAAGAACUGACAAAGUUGAAGGAGAUAGUUUCAUUUCAGGUUCCUUCAAGGGGAGACAAGCUGACAGCAACAAAACACAAGAAAGCUGCACUUUGGAGAUAUAGAUCUGAGAAGUAUUCAAAAAGUAACAGAUUAUAGAGUCAAAAUCAAAACCUCUCAUCCAAUCAAUAUUUUAAGAAAACCUUGUUCUAACCCAGGGGACUAAUCUAUAUCUCUCUCCCCUAGUUACUGGAUCCUUUCUACCCUGUUUCAUAAACAACCUAAGUCUAUAAUUUGAAUUAACCUUUAGAUAACUUCUGAGUUAAACAAAAUUAUUUCUUUAAUCAAUAAGAACACAUCUUCUUUGGCACAUUGUACAUGGAAUCAUACAAUUUGCUGGAAUUCUUAUUCUUAGUAAUCCUAAAUUUUAAUGGAAACCUAGGAAGCAAGAAAUCCUGGGCUGUCUAUCAGAUAUUAACAUUUUAUAGAUGAGAAACAUGAAUGUUCUCAGGCCCAGAAAACUCAAGUUGUUUUGGGACCUCAAGAAAAGAGGAAUUCACCCAAUUCAUACAGGUAUCUGCAAGCACAGAUCAAUUAUUGGUUGUGCUCGAGAGGCCUUUAAAAAUCAAAUCUGAGAUUCCUUAUGAAAAGUUCCAGCAAAGCCAAUUUAAAAAAGCCUAUAUGAACAAUAAUUCUUGCUUCAGUUUAUGCAAAUAAUCAGGCAAACUAUAAUAAGAUUAAAACAGAUUUUGCAAAUAAAUUGGUCCUACUGUGAUUUGCCUUUCAUGGAAAUGGGGAGCUGGAGAGAGAAACAUUAUGUUUUGGAAGAAAACUGCAGUACACCUGUUAUUAGAUUAAUCUUUGACCUAUGGCAACCUGGUCAUCCAUGGUAUGGAGAUACAUCUGUGCUGUGCUGCAUUCAGUUAUUAAAAGUAUAAGUUACCAGUGGAAUUUAGAUAUGGAUUCAUCACCUCAGAAGUUGGUUCACUGGAUGCAUAAGGAAAUAAAAACUAAUUUUUAAAAAAGCAAAA
Molecule: long non-coding RNA, 2625 nt
Organism: Homo sapiens (human)
Lineage: Eukaryota; Metazoa; Chordata; Mammalia; Primates; Hominidae
Exons: 2
Source: RefSeq, a predicted model, not a curated record